ACAUGCUGGCAGCUGACAUGACUGAAAAGAAUGGUACAUCCCCACCCAGGCAGGUGAAAGAAAUGUACGCCAGAGGAAUAGUGUCCUUAUUCCCCUACCUCAGUGACCCAUUCUCUAAGAAUGGCUAUGAGCACUAUUAUGAUGGGGAGAGUGGAACUGGGUACUUGGCCUGGAGGAUUAAAACUAUUCAGAGAAGCACUGCUAAAGAUAGGCGAUCCUCGUUUGGAG
Fundulus heteroclitus (mummichog) is the source of this 228-nucleotide long non-coding RNA. RefSeq lists it as uncharacterized. The record is from RefSeq and is a predicted model, not a curated record. The transcript is spliced from 3 exons. Lineage: Eukaryota; Metazoa; Chordata; Actinopteri; Cyprinodontiformes; Fundulidae.